RNAcentral lists this ribosomal RNA (427 nucleotides) under Microbacterium sp. Its description in RNAcentral is "bacterial SSU rRNA". It matches the Rfam family "Bacterial small subunit ribosomal RNA", at positions 32 to 490 of the family's 1533-position model. The record is from RNAcentral. Lineage: Bacteria; Bacillati; Actinomycetota; Actinomycetes; Micrococcales; Microbacteriaceae.
AAUGAGAGCCAUUAACACAUGGCAAGUCUCACGGUGAAGCCAAGCUUGCUUGGUGGAUCAGUGGCGAAUUGUUGAGUAACACGUGAGCAACCUGCCCUGGACUCUGGGAUAAACGCUGGAAACGGCGUCUAAUACUGGAUAUGAGACGUGAUCGCAUGGUCGUGUUUGGAAAGAUUUUUCGGUCUGGGAUGGGCUCGCGGCCUAUCACUUGUUGGUGAGGUAAUGGCUCACCAAGGCGUCACCGGUAGCCGGCCUGAAAGGGUGACCGGCCACACUGGGACUGAGAACGGCCCAACUCCUACGGGAGGCAGCAUGGGGAAUAUUGUUAAUGGGCAAAACCUGAUGCAACAAAACCGCUGAAGGAUACAGCCUCGGUUUUAAACUCUUUUACCAGGAAGAAGCAAAAUGACGGUCCUUUAUAAAAACG